UGCUAGUAAUCGUGGAUCAGCAUGCCACGGUGAAUACGUUCCCGGGCCUUGUACACACCGCCCGUCACACCAUGAGAGCCGGGAACACCCGAAGUCCGUAGUCUAACCUAUAUGGAGGACGCGGCCGAAGGUGGGUUUGGUAAUUGGGGUGAAGUCGUAACAAGGUAUC
RNAcentral lists this ribosomal RNA (169 nucleotides) under uncultured bacterium. Its description in RNAcentral is "partial 16S ribosomal RNA". It matches the Rfam family "Bacterial small subunit ribosomal RNA", at positions 1333 to 1500 of the family's 1533-position model. The record is from RNAcentral.